Molecule: ribosomal RNA, 440 nt
Filed under: uncultured bacterium
Lineage: Bacteria
Description: partial 16S ribosomal RNA
Rfam family: Bacterial small subunit ribosomal RNA
Source: RNAcentral
CCUACGGGGUGCAGCAGUGGGGAAUAUUGCACAAUGGGGGAAACCCUGAUGCAGCGACGCCGCGUGGGGGAAGAAGGAUUUCGGAAUGUAAAGCCCUAUUAGCAGGGAAGAAAAUGACGGUAUCUGAUGAAGAAGCACCGGCUAACUACGUGCCAGCAGCCGCGGUAAUACGGAGGGGGCAAGCGUUAUCCGGAUUUACUGGGCGUAAAGAGAGCGUAGACGGGAUCACAAGUCUGAAGUGAAAUGCCGGGGCUUAACCCCGGAACUGCUUUUGAAACUGUUCAUCUAGAGUGUAGGAGAGGUAGGUGGAAUUCCUGGUGUAGCGGUGAAAUGCGUAGAGAUUAGGAGGAACACCAGUUGCGAAGGCGGCUUACUGGACUGUAACUGACGUUGAUGCGCGAAAGCGUGGGGAGCAAACAGGAUUAGAUACCCUUGUAGUC